Molecule: ribosomal RNA, 201 nt
Filed under: uncultured bacterium
Lineage: Bacteria
Description: partial 16S ribosomal RNA
Rfam family: Bacterial small subunit ribosomal RNA
Source: RNAcentral
UACGAAGGGGGCUAGCGUUGCUCGGAAUCACUGGGCGUAAAGCGCACGUAGGCGGACUCUUAAGUCGGUGGUGAAAUCCUGGAGCUCAACUCCAGAACUGCCUUCGAUACUGGGAGUCUCGAGUCCGGGAGAGGUGAGUGGAACUGCGAGUGUAGAGGUGAAAUUCGUAGAUAUUCGCAAGAACACCAGUGGCGAAGGCGG